GAUGAACGCUGGCGGCGUGCUUAACACAUGCAAGUCGAGCGAUGAAGUUUCCUUCGGGAAACGGAUUAGCGGCGGACGGGUGAGUAACACGUGGGUAACCUGCCUCAUAGAGUGGAAUAGCCUUCCGAAAGGAAGAUUAAUACCGCAUAAUGUUGAAAGAUGGCAUAAUCAUUUAACCAAAGGAGCAAUCUGCUAUGAGAUGGACCCGCGGCGCAUUAGCUAGUUGGUGGGGUAACGGCCUACCAAGGUGACGAUGCGUAGCCGACCUGAGAGGGUGAUCGGCCACAUUGGGACUGAGACACGGCCCAGACUCCUACGGGAGGCAGCAGUGGGGAAUAUUGCACAAUGGGGGAAACCCUGAUGCAGCAACGCCGCGUGAGUGAUGAAGGUUUUCGGAUCGUAAAGCUCUGUCUUUGGGGAAGAUAAUGACGGUACCCAAGGAGGAAGCCACGGCUAACUACGUGCCAGCCGCCGCGGUAA
RNAcentral lists this ribosomal RNA (480 nucleotides) under uncultured bacterium. RNAcentral describes it as "partial 16S ribosomal RNA". It matches the Rfam family "Bacterial small subunit ribosomal RNA", at positions 28 to 523 of the family's 1533-position model. The record is from RNAcentral.